This 737-nucleotide long non-coding RNA is filed under the name Struthio camelus australis. RNAcentral's name for it is "lncRNA (ENSSCUG00000017809.1)". Lineage: Eukaryota; Metazoa; Chordata; Aves; Struthioniformes; Struthionidae. The record is from RNAcentral.
UAUUUGCAUGCCUCCAGCGACAGUGUCUGGGAGUGGGAAGUCUCAGCUCCUGCAUCGGGGGUGUGUGUCUUUUCUCAUUUUCUCUCUCAUUCUCUCUACAGAUCAAACAUUCCCCAAAGGCUGGUAGAAGCAGGAGGAAUGACACUUGCUAAUUUGAAUUUCAGAAAACACCUAAACCACUUUCUGAUCUUCAGAUUUUGUUUAGGUGCUAAGCAAAUUAAAAGUAAUGCUUACCUGGAUUUUAGAAUAACAUAUGGACUGAAGUGUCUCUUUGUUAUGGGGCCAUCAAACAGACGGUGAAUGAGUGAGCUAAGUGUUUCUGAAUUUCCUGGGCGGAUGCAUCACUGUGACAUGCUGAAUCUGGUUUUAUCAGUUUUAUUGCAUUUAAGCUAUUCUAAAUGCAGCUUGAGGGCUGGUGGUGACACAGAUAACGCAGGAUUCCAGCUGUUGCAAUGCUUGGAGUGCAAGCACUAUUUGUCCAGCCGUGAGACUGAGAUUUUGGUAAGAGGACACAUUUCUUUGUUAGUUGAACAAAACACAGAGAGGCUUUCACAACACCUACGUGUUCAUUCUUGUUCCAGAAACUCUGAUGAGCCAGAAAUAUUUGUUGCAAUGUGAAAUGUUCUGUGAGAUAAUGAUAGCUUUGCAGAAAUCUGGAAAUACGUAUUGCAGCAAGAGCUUCUUUUUUCAUGAUCUUACAUUUAUAGAUAUGUACAGUUCAGCAUUACUUAACAAAG